Molecule: long non-coding RNA, 282 nt
Filed under: Danio rerio (zebrafish)
Lineage: Eukaryota; Metazoa; Chordata; Actinopteri; Cypriniformes; Danionidae
Description: si:dkey-37f13.3 (ENSDARG00000105780.2)
Source: RNAcentral
GUUCUAUUCAUGGACAUCAUGAGCACCUGAACUGUACUGGAAGGAACGUCGCAAUGAAUUUAUAGCCACAGAGCCUAAAAUCUAGAGUGCAUUGCACACAAAAGCUUGCUGAAAAGACCAUUGAAAACCAGCUUGUUUCAUCAGGAUUCAGAUCCCUCGCAUGCCACACAGAAUAAAGCUUCCAGGUUUCAUGCAGGUAAUCUAAUGAAUUCAUCUUCCAUCUCAUCAAUAAAUCAGUACUUCAGUGACACGGUACUGGCUAAUCCUCUGGCAGGUGGUCAC